Molecule: long non-coding RNA, 1253 nt
Organism: Bacillus rossius redtenbacheri
Lineage: Eukaryota; Metazoa; Arthropoda; Insecta; Phasmatodea; Bacillidae
Exons: 2
Source: RefSeq, a predicted model, not a curated record
UUUAUUUCCGUCUUCGGAACAGGCAGCUGCUAGCUCGUGAUGUCGGGGAAACAGACACCUGCUGUUGAUAUGGGAGGUAUGAGUUACCUCGUUUAAGGUCUCGGGAGCGAAGAAGAGGUUUAUCUCCGCCGCAGGAUACAAGAUACACAUCUCCGCUGGACGCUGCUGGACGGUACUGGAUGCAACGUCAUCCGUCCCGUUAGUGCCCCUGGAUGUCUCGUCAUGGACAUCAGUAGCCUUGGACAGAUGGAUUGGUAGCAAUCAUUCCGGACAACACAUGCCCGGAAGCUGCCUCGCGGCCGCUCCACCCCAGGCCUGCGGCGGGACGUCAUGCCCACGGCCUGACAGACGUGGUGGAUGCUGUCACUGCUGCUCUACUGUCCCAUACAGUAGAUGAGGACGAAGAAGACGUCAUCACGGUCCGUAGUUCUUCCGCGCACUCGUGUACUCACUCGACAUUUCUUUACACAUUAGCCUCUAAACUCACCCGCUCUCUUUAACUAUAAGCGUCCAAGUGAAAUACCUCGUACAGUCUAUCGAAAAUCGCUGCAAACACUGGAACGGAAAAACCUCUUCUUUUCUUGCUACCCUAACUAACCUUAAAUAAAGUGUAAGCAACCUUGAUUUAAAAUAAACAAUGUAACUUUAAAAUAAUAUUUCCUUAAAAUCUUAUAAACAUACCAUUAACUUAUUAAACAAAAACAAUAGCAGUUUAUAAUUGUUUUGAUAUCAUAUGUUUGCAAAUUUAUAAGUUUGUUUACAAACAUAUCAAACCUUAUAUUAUUGAACCUGGCAGAAAUAACUUAUUCUUGGCUCUGCCCACAAUAAUAUUUAUAAAUAUAUUACUGUUUGAUAUAAAUAACACAUUCCUAUACACAUGACUAAAUAAUAACAUUGUUUUAUACAAUAAAUACAGUCAUAUUUACAACACAUUUAUGUUAAUGAUUAAAAUACAGCUCAUUGUUGUAACUGUUUUAACUGCCAUUAGCAGUAAUUAAAUAAUCUGUCCUUACUCUGACAGUAAAUAAAUAAAUUUUAUUUUUAGUCACAUUCCUUAGGUUUUGUUAAACCUUAACAAUCACUACAUCACAAGGUCUUUAACAUUGCCUUAAAAAUUACACCACAAUAAUUUCAGCACUGAAGUAUCUGAAGAAUCUUAUUACAGUAAACUGUGAAAUAAAGUGCUAUAAUGGGUGAUAUAUAUGUGAUGUACCUAAGUCAGUGAUGGUGAAAAUAAAUCGUCGAUUAAUGUU